GAACAUUGUCAAGAAUGAAAUCAAAUGCCAUGUUCCAUACUGAUUCUACAGACUGCUGCAUUAGCCUGUGGAGAUAAAAAAAAGUAACAGAAUGGAAAGGAAAGCUUACUAUCACACAUUUUCAUAGAUUGUAGAGCAAGAUUUUGAACUGGAAUAGGCUAUUCACAGCCAAACUCAUAGAAUAUGCUUAGCUAUAUUAAUUAUAGUUCACUUUCUGGUGUGAAAAUACUUAGAAACAAAGUUUUGUUGAUGGAAAAACAUAUGCAAACACACACACUCGCAGGUAAACCGUCUAUGCAAUAUUUUAAAAAUAAAUUUAAAGUGGCACGAGACAAACAUACAAAAUUAUACAUUCUGCAUUUAGGUGUUCAAUCAUGAGAUUUAAACAAUGAAAUGUAAAAAUAUUUGUCAGUUUACAAAUUUGGAAACUGAAGCAGACAUUUUAUGAAUAACGAAGAGUAUAACUGGUAUUUAGUGGGAGAGUUCAAAGAACAGGAAAACUCCAAAACUGCUAGGAUUAUUCUGAGCAUAUACACUGAUUGGCUUGCACAGGUGUAGAACAUUACAGAACAGAAAAAUGGCAGUAAAGAUGCCUGGGAAGGGUAGAAUUUAAAGCUCUUGGGAAUUAAGAUGAUCAUAUUUAAUGCAAUUUCAUCACUGUACUAUAUCAGGUAAACCAGGACUGAUUUUUGAUGGCUGAAUACUUCUUUGACAGGCCAAAGCCACCACCAUUAGAAAGAUUACAAUAGAUGCAAAAGGUGAAUAGGUACAAGUUCCUAAUACUUCCUACUGAUGUUGCAAUUCAGUUUCCUUUCAAGCCAUUUAAUCCUGCUAUGGGGGUGGGAACACUGGUUAUGGAAGAAGGGAAUGGGACAGAAAAAACAUCAACAGGCAUGAAAGGGAGAAAGAAGAACUAAACGCACUUCCAUAAAGAUGGCAGAGAAACCUCUAAUUGUUUAACAAUUAUUUAAUUGUUUGAGUGAAUGAUUUCUUGAAUGAAUAAA
Pseudonaja textilis is the source of this 1004-nucleotide non-coding RNA. The record is from RefSeq and is a predicted model, not a curated record. NCBI's taxonomy places the organism in Eukaryota, Metazoa, Chordata, Lepidosauria, Squamata, Elapidae.